GACUUCGUAGCUCAGCUGGUAGAGCAACUGACUCUUAAUCAGUGGGUCCAGGGUUCGAUUCCCUGCGGGGUCA
Molecule: transfer RNA, 73 nt
Filed under: Albibacterium bauzanense
Lineage: Bacteria; Pseudomonadati; Bacteroidota; Sphingobacteriia; Sphingobacteriales; Sphingobacteriaceae
Description: Pedobacter sp. BZ42 tRNA
Rfam family: tRNA
About the family: Transfer RNA (tRNA) molecules are approximately 80 nucleotides in length.
Source: Rfam by way of RNAcentral